This 257-nucleotide ribosomal RNA is filed under the name uncultured bacterium. RNAcentral describes it as "partial 16S ribosomal RNA". It matches the Rfam family "Bacterial small subunit ribosomal RNA", at positions 524 to 776 of the family's 1533-position model. The record is from RNAcentral.
UACGUAGGGGUGCAAGCGUUAAUCGGAAUUACUGGGCGUAAAGCGUGCGCAGGCGGUUUUGUAAGUCUGUCGUGAAAUCCCCCGGGCUCAACCUGGGAAUUGCGAUGGAGACUGCAAGGCUAGAAUCUGGCAGAGGGGGGGUAGAAUUCCACGUGUAGCAGUGAAAUGCGUAGAGAUGUGGAGGAACACCGAUGGCGAAGGCAGCCCCCUGGGUCAAGAUUGACGCUCAUGCACGAAAGCGUGGGGGAGCAAACAGG